This 245-nucleotide ribosomal RNA is filed under the name uncultured bacterium. RNAcentral's name for it is "partial small subunit ribosomal RNA". It matches the Rfam family "Bacterial small subunit ribosomal RNA", at positions 26 to 285 of the family's 1533-position model. The record is from RNAcentral.
AGAAUCAACGCUGGCGGCGUGCCUAACACAUGCAAGUCGCACGAGAAAGGGACUUCGGUCCUGAGUACAGUGGCGCACGGGUGAGUAACACGUGAAUCAUCUACCUUCGAGUGGGGAAUAACUGAGAGAAAUCUUAGCUAAUACCGCAUAAUACCUACGGGCCAAAGCAGCAAUGCGCUUGAAGAGGAGUUCGCGGCAGAUUAGUUAGUUGGCGGGGUAAUGGCCCACCAAGACGAUGAUCUGUA